AUUGAACGCUGGCGGCAGGCUUAACACAUGCAAGUCGAGCGGGGGAAGGUAGCUUGCUACCGGACCUAGCGGCGGACGGGUGAGUAAUGCUUAGGAAUCUGCCUAUUAGUGGGGGACAACAUCUCGAAAGGGAUGCUAAUACCGCAUACGUCCUACGGGAGAAAGCAGGGGAUCUUCGGACCUUGCGCUAAUAGAUGAGCCUAAGUCGGAUUAGCUAGUUGGUGGGGUAAAGGCCUACCAAGGCGACGAUCUGUAGCGGGUCUGAGAGGAUGAUCCGCCACAGUGGGACUGAGACACGGCCCGGAUCCCUCCGGGGGGCAGCAGUGGGGAAAAUUGGACAAUGGGGGGAACCCUGAUCCAGCCAUGCCGCGUGUGUGAAGAAGGCCUUAUGGUUGUAAAGCACUUUAAGCGAGGAGGAGGCUACUCUAGUUAAUACCUAGGGAUAGUGGACGUUACUCGCAGAAUAAGCACCGGCUAACUCUGUGCCAGCAGCCGCCGCCG
Molecule: ribosomal RNA, 501 nt
Filed under: uncultured bacterium
Lineage: Bacteria
Description: partial 16S ribosomal RNA
Rfam family: Bacterial small subunit ribosomal RNA
Source: RNAcentral